UAAACAAAUAUCGAGGGUACAUCAACCUAUGGGCCCCGAGGGACUAGUGAACGACGUAUUUAUCUUACCGAACACCUCAAUGGUAAUUUUGAACUGUUUGAGGCACGAGUAGCGGAUCAUAGUAUGGAGUACCAGAUGACAA
Molecule: long non-coding RNA, 142 nt
Organism: Haliotis rubra (blacklip abalone)
Lineage: Eukaryota; Metazoa; Mollusca; Gastropoda; Lepetellida; Haliotidae
Exons: 3
Source: RefSeq, a predicted model, not a curated record